UACAGAGGUCCCGAGCGUUAGGCGGAAUCACUGGGCUUAAAGCGUGUGUAGGCGGAUGCCUAAGUACCUUGUGAAAUCCUACGGCUUAACCGUGGAACUGCUCGGUAUACUGGGUGUCUUGAGCCACUUAGGGGCUACCGGAACAAAUGGUGGAGCGGUGAAAUGCGUAGAUAUCAUUUGGAACGCCAAUGGUGAAAACAGGUAGCUGGGAGUGUGCUGACGCUGAGACACGAAAGCCAGGGGAGCAAACGGG
Molecule: ribosomal RNA, 253 nt
Filed under: uncultured bacterium
Lineage: Bacteria
Description: partial 16S ribosomal RNA
Rfam family: Bacterial small subunit ribosomal RNA
Source: RNAcentral